AACCGGCAGUCCAGAGAAUCAUCAGUUCUCGUCGUCGCAUCGCCCACUCAACUCGCAUCCACCAUUCCGCCCGCACCCCCCGAAUUUCUCCGCCGUCCCAGUGCCGGCGCGACGCCGCAUGCCCCGGCAGAGCGAGCGCUGCUGCCGUCGCAUAUGCCCGUCGAGCGCCGCUUCCGCCUACACAUUCGCCCGCCGCUGCCCCCGACGCAUCUGCCUGGCUCCAAAAAAGCUCAUUUUUCGGGUCCAAAUUGGCUGAUCUGGCGGCGGUGCUGGAUCCGGUAGCGGCGAAGGCGGCUAGCGGGGAGGAGCAGGUCCUCCAUGGCGGGCGGAGAGUGCACUGACAGAUAGAUGGAGUAAUUUCGCCUUAAUCCGUGGUGCUUCCCUUUCUCGACUUAAUCUGCGGUGGUUCCAAAUCUUCCUAAGAGUAAUAGAUUGUUACUGUUACUGUUAAAGACGUGGCUCUCUCGGUGCUGCAGCUUCUUCCUCGCCGUGUAGGGACGGCGGCGACGAGCUUCUACCUCGGCUACAGCCACCUAGGUUCUGCCGUACAAGGAGCUCGGAUAGGCGCUGGCAGAGGUAGAGAAUUUGAUAAAAAAACAAGGCAGCAGCAGCAUUUCAGUUUGGGAAGGUUAGAAUGCUGGAGUUGAAGCAGUUGUGGAUUUCUUCAAGGCAAAAAUAGAGCAUUUCCACUUAGUGAGAUGAAAAGGGUUAGUUUUCAGGUUUUGUUUCAGCAUGCUUUUGAUUGGUCACUCCUGAGCACUAAUUAUCACC
This is a long non-coding RNA of Triticum aestivum (bread wheat), 771 nucleotides long. RefSeq lists it as uncharacterized. NCBI's taxonomy places the organism in Eukaryota, Viridiplantae, Streptophyta, Magnoliopsida, Poales, Poaceae. The record is from RefSeq and is a predicted model, not a curated record. The transcript has 4 exons.